AGAUUGUCUGUUAAGAAAAAAAAAACAUAAACAACACACCAGUUCGUCGGUGAUUGCGACGGUUACUUUCCCCGGAAGUGCCGCAGGAUGCCAAGCUGUUGUUCCCAAUCGCUUCUGGAAAUCGGAAUUAAGUGGAUCAGUAUGAGCGACGAUUCAAAGUUGGCGACCUUCCCCACUUUGAAGGUGGAUACGGUUCCACAUUUUCAUUUAUAUUCAGCUUACAUCUAAACAGACAACACUGAAUAAACAAAUAGACGCCACUAUAAAAGGUUCGAAGCAACAUCUCUCCAUCCUCGGUUGCGCCCCACGCUCGUCAAAUCGAUUUACACUUGGUUCGCCCACCAAGCUCGCUGUGCUCCAUGCCUUUUUGUACCUGCCGGGUCGGAAGCGAAAACCAUGUUUACAGUGUUGCUGUCCGGCAUCUUUGCAACUGCCCUGCCCAUCGUACCCUUCCAGCUUUAGCACCGUUCUUUUGCACACCGCCAAAGAUAGUCCUAAGCACGUGUUAGUAAGUAAUCCCUCAUGUGCUGCUAAAAUCUUUCACGAUUUGACUGUGGAAUACUGCCGUGAAUCGCAUAUUUGUCCCAUAUGAAUAGGAAACCCAGCAAAGAUGGGACAGAUAUGCGAUUCACGGCAGAAUAUAAUUGUAAUUGUAAUUUCAAUGAAUAUAUAGAAAAUAUAGAUAAAUAAUAUAGAAAUUUCCAUCAGAGCCUUGCAAAUCUGCAGGAG
Long non-coding RNA from Armigeres subalbatus, 729 nucleotides. RefSeq lists it as uncharacterized. The record is from RefSeq and is a predicted model, not a curated record. NCBI's taxonomy places the organism in Eukaryota, Metazoa, Arthropoda, Insecta, Diptera, Culicidae. The transcript has 2 exons.